UCUGGGUUCCUUUAAUAGGUAUUCUAAUUUUUUGAAGGGGAGGAUGUAUUUUUUUAAUAACUCUUUCUUUCCCAUCUUGUCAAGAGACUAUGAUCUUUGGGUUGGAUGGUUCUGGAUUUUUUAUUUCUUUACCAUUUUUUAAAAUCAUAUUGAUGUCUUUUGGAUCUUCUUUUAUAAGUGUAUACCAUUUAGAGAAUGAUAUUUAUUUCCUAGUCAUUUUUAGAAAGGUAUAAUAUUCUAUUUGUAAUCUACUCAUCUGUUCUUUGGAAAGGAUUGCUAAAGGUUUAUUUUCUAAAUCCAUUUCCAAAGAUGGCUCAAAAUCGAUAUCAAUUACAUAUAACUCUGGGUCUUUUCUAUCAGCAAUUUGAGAAUAAGUAGGUGAGGUAGGCGGAGAUUGAAGUUCUUUAUAUCUAGAUUAGGGAAUCUUUGAUUUAAAAUUUAUAUUACUUAAUUUUGAGGGUGAAGAAGUAGAACAACUAUAUCUAGAUGGGUUUAUUUGGACUUGUAAGGGUUCUAGCCUAUAACUUGAGCUUCGCUGUAAUUCUCUUUGAAAUUUAAUAGAAACAUCUCCUUCAGAAUUUAUAAUGAUUGUAUCCAAUUUACUUUGUUCUUUUCUAAUAGUUGGUACUGAUUUCUUUAGUAACCAAUCAUCGAGAAGCUUAAUUUGAUCCCAAACUAAGGUUCUUGGGACAAACACAUUUUCUUUGCUUGAAUCUAUCUGAAAGUAGUCUGUAGAAUCUAGAGUUCUUUUGUUUAGUACUCCUAUAUAUUUCAAUGUGUUUAAUAUUUUGUAGCAUACCCAAAUUAUGACCGUAGCUGGAUAUGAUCCUGAUAACAUAUUGAAUCCGUCUAGUUUAACCUCUAAUUCUAAACUUCUAAGAAUAUUUUUGUCCUUAGUCUUAAUAGUAAGAUCUGCAUUACAAUUGAAAUAGAUUGGACCAUUGAAUAAACUAGAUUCAACCAUUCCUAAAAGGGCAUCUUGGAAAUCAAGAAAUCUUUCAUUUUUUAAACAUAGAAGGAUAGCAUUAUUAAUUCUUUUUCUGAUCAAUGGUUUUACCACUACUUGAACUAAUCCUAUAUGAAUGAAUUCAAGCUUGGAUUUUUGGAUAGAUUUAAUUAUUUCUGAUGUCAAGAUUGAGAUUAAUUCAUGCUCCUUUUCUAUAGGGAUUGUGAAUUCUAUUGCUUUGAUUCUGUUGUCUGGUAACAACCAGUUUGUAGAUUUAUAAAUGAAACUCCUAGGAACCUUUGGAAUUAUCCAUUUGUCUAACUGUUUGCCAGAUAGUUCUAUUAAAGCCUUGUCAAAACUUUCUCCUUAUGAAGAAGAACUAGUUAAAGAGGAUCUUGAAUGGAAACUCAUCCUUAUAGGGUUUAAAAGAAAGAAAAGAAUGUACUAAAGAAUCAAAGAAUUAAUAAAGAAUAAAGUUUCUAGUUGCUUACGCAACUAAAAGAAUGAAAAGAAUAAAGAAUAUAUAAAGAAUGUACCUAACUAUAAAGACAGAAGAAAAUACCUAUAUGUUAGACUCUCAUUAGUUUCUAUACAAAGUCUGAAAAAAUACUUAAAAGACUCAAGUAUAAAAGAAUGCCUAAAAAAAGAAAGAAUUAGUAAAGGAUUCAAUACCUAAAAGAUGUUAGUGAUCCAUGCUACCACUUCGUGAUAACAAUUCCAAGGGUGGAAAGAGUUAGCAAAAGAAGAUUAAGAAAAGAUACUUAUCUUAGGAGACUUAACAAUAUGAUUCCAAUAAGCAGUCAAAAAAAGAUAUCUAUCUUAGGAGACUAAACACAAGAUGAUCUGAAACUUCAGACCUGAGACUGAUACCCAACUUAGGUGUCAAAGGUAGUCUUCUCUCCGAUCUUUACUGUCUGUGUCUGUAGCGGCUCUCCCUGACCUUCGUCGACAACGGCAUGUCCUGAAGCAAUCCUACAUCCGAAGGUACACUCAAAUCUCUGUCUUCAAACCAUCUGCCAGUUAUACAAUCCCUAUACUCCUCGGAUCAAGCCUAGGUAAUCUUGAUUGAUGCCCCUAUUGCUCAUCUAUCCCUUCUCUUACCAAAAUGUCAAGCUUCUCUCUCUAGACCAAGCCUAGAUUUUUUGAUACUGCUCCUCAGACCAAGCCUAAGUAAUCUUUUUUAAUGCCCCUACAGCUCAUCAAACCUCGAUCUUUCUAAACUACUUCUCUCUCUUCAGGUUCUAUUAUCGACCUACGACAGAGAAAAAGAUCUGACUCUAAUAAAUAAUUAAAAAUUUAUGACUCAUUCUACAUCUCCCUCCCUAGGCUUUAAAUGAACCAUUAGGGGAAAAAGAAUCUCCCUCCCCGGGCUCUGAUACCAAAAUGAACCGACGAUACCAACAAGACCCGAUGGUACCAAUAAGACCCGACGGUACCAACUCGUAGGCACGUAAGUAUCAAAGCAUAGGCUCUGAUACCAACAAGACCUGAUGAGUAUCAAGGCCAACAUGACAUGAGCUCUGAUAUCGUGGGCGUCCAAGGAUCGACUCUGAGGGAGCUUUUCGAUUAAGAGAAGAACCGUAGUAUUUCUAAUCAAUAAAAUUUAUAUGAUAAGAUCUAUGAGCAGGAUCUUGCUCACUCAAAGAGUAAGGCCCACCAAAACACCACUAACAGACCACAAAUCAAAGUCCUCCUAUAGCUUGACUCCUAACCUAAGAUUUAUAAAAUAAAAUCUAAGAGUAGAAUCUUGCUCACAGAGUGAAGCUUGUCCAGACACUACUAAUAGACUACAGGUUAAACUUUUCUAGGAUGCUCAGACACCUAACUCUAACCCUAAAGUUUAUGUGCUGGAACCUUUAAGUAAUAUCUUGCUUACUUUAGGAUAACAGAGAGUAAGACCUGCCAAGAUACCACUAACAAAUUACAGACUAACUAUGAACUAUAAACUAAUGCCAUCAAAGACUAUAGCUUAGGUAUGUGAACCUUCACAGCCAAAAGUCCCCUAUGAUACAAAUAUAGUACACAGUUCAGUAGAACCAGACUUUCUAAACCUAGACUCUAAGACUCUCUAAGACUAGACCGGACUCUAGAUACUAUACAACUCUUCUAAUAUACAACCUACACUCUAAGACUCUCUAAGACUCACUAAGACUUUAAGACCCUCUAAGACUCACAAAGGGUUAGUGGACUCGCUAAGGGUUAGUGGAUCCUAAACACUCUAGACACUCUGCAGGGUAGACACACAGGAUAGACACAGGACUAUGGAUUUCCUAAGGGUGAACCUAAAGAUGGACUCUAAACUCAAACACUAUGGGUAGAUGGUGAAACCUAAGACUGAUUUCUAAGGUCAGACACUAUAGAUGACACCUAUGGGUUUGAGACUGGUCAGACAAUACUAAGGUUGGACACUAAGGGUGAACACCUAAGGCUAGACAUAGGUUGGACUUUAGGGUUGGUCGAUAUCUAAGGUUGGACAUGGAGUGGACAUUACUAUGGAUGGACACUAUGGGUGGACUUACUAUGGGGUGAACAGGGUGAACACUCUACAGGUUAUCCUUAAGGUUACUUAUAGGUUAAAGAACCUAAGAGUUUUCUAAAGAUGACGCUAUGGGUUACCUGAGGAUGACACCAAGGCUUCCUAAGGUUAGCUAGGUGACUUAGUAGUUAAGUUACCUAUAGGUUAGUUAUUUUUUUUAUUUUUUAUUUUUUAUAUACUUUUAGUGUGUUUUUUUUAUAUAGUUUUUAAUUUUUUAUUUUUCAAUGUGGUUUUUAGUUUUUAACUUUUUAUAUGUUUUUGAAUAUGUGAGUUACCUACUUACUUUAUGCAAGUUACCUAUUUACUAUAACUUUUUAUAUUUUUAUAAUUUUUAUUAUUAUUUUUUUAAAAUAGUAUGCAAAUAGUAAUGCAAUAGUUUUUUAAAAUAGUAGUUUUGAAAUCAUGCAUGCAAGUGGAUGAUGAAAAUGUGGAAGAAUAUGAAGAAGUAUGAAUGCAAAUAGUAUUUUGUAAAAUAGUAAUUCUGCAAAUAGUAAUGAAUAGAAUGAAUAGUAUUUAUGAAUGUAAGAUGCAUGCGAUGAUGAAGAAGAUGAAAAGUAAGCAGUAUUUAAAAUAAUAUUUAAAUAAAGUAACACAAAGAAAUAAAUAAAGAAAUGAAGAAAUGAAGUAACUAAGACUUCAUUAAAACAAACUCAUGCAUGGAUAUAUACAAAUGAAGAACACAAGAACAUAAAGAACUUACAAUGUGAAAAAACACAGAGACAGUACAUACAAAAAGUGGAGAUAGCUUGCAGAAGCUUGCUUCUCUCCGACACGGACUCUUGAACAAACUUCACACUUAUGUACAGGCCUCAAGAACACACAAGGAUGAAACGGUAAAAAGACUCAAGAGAAGGAUAUAUAUAAGGAUACAAGAUAGGAGGAAGAAAAAGAACUAUUUAAUGGAACACUUCCUCUCUAGCUUAUAACUUCUACCUGGCAUAUGAUCUUUAAUAAGCUCUCCAAGGAAGCCACUAGCUUCAAGAUUGCUCAUGAAGCUCUACCAUGACUUAUGUCAAGAUUUGCCAAGGCUUAUUCCUCAAUGCUGGCAUUGGGGGUCUUCUUAUAGAAGCUGGGGGUGAGCAUCUUACUUGGGCUUGAAGUAGCUUGGCACUGAAGUAACUUGGUGGUUAAUCAACUUUAUUGGUGAAGUGGCCUACUGAUGAGUAAUUUUAUCAGUGUUGAAGUAACUUGUUGAUAAAGCAUCUUUUGUUGGUGAUGUAACAACAUUGUUGGUAGCGAGAUGACUUGUCGGUGAAGAAAUAACUUUUCUGAAAAUGCAUCUGGCUAGUUAUCUUGUCGAUGCAGUAUUUUGUCGGUGGAGCAUCUAUCUAUGGUUGAAGUAACUUGGCGAAGAAUCAACUUUUGUUAGUGAAGCGGCAAUCAACUUUGUUGGUGGAGUAGCCUAAAAGUAACUUGUUGGUGAAGUACCUUUGCUGAUGAGGUGGCAACUUUUGAUGGUGAAAUUUUUUGGAUGGAAUAUCUGCUGGGAAGGAAUUUUUACUGCCCGUUAAUGAAGAGACAAUUCUAGGACAUCUACUAUUAUUUGCUUGGAGAAGGAUUAGCGUAGUCUUUUUUUCUUUCUCUUGUUUCGAAAAAAGAUUUAGUGUAGUCUUUUUUUUCUUCUUCAGAUGAUAUUAUUUUGAGAUGGAAGCUGGGAAUGAUGAUGGUUUGCUUUGAGAAAGAGUAAAAAAUUUUAUACCUAUAUAAAAUGAUAUCUCUUUCUGAUAGUUCUUUUGGCAACAAUUUGUGGAUAGGUUUGGAAAAGCUCUCAUGUGGAAUUUAUAUCUAUAUUCCUCUUCUUCAUUUAGAAAAGGUCAUGAUAAGAAGAAAAAAAAUUUGCAGAGAAGGAAGGAAAGAAAUUUUAAAUGAAUUGGAAAUGUAAAUUUUGUCCUAAAAUUUUUCCAUUAAUUCCUUCAUCAUCUAUAUAAAUUGGCUUAAUUAAAUUGAGAAAUGGUAUAUCUAAAAUAACUGAUUGAUUUAGAUUUUUUACUAGAAUGAAUGAAGUUUGAAUAUUAAUAUCAUCAUUACAGAUUUUGACAUUUGUUAAUUGAUAGUUAUAUUGAGUUUUGAACCACUAGCAGUUCUUAAAUUUUCAUUUAUUUUUUCAAAAUAUUUUGUUAGGAUUAAUUCUUCAUGAAUACAAUUUAGAUCAGCUCUAGAAUCUAUUAGUGCUAUUGUGUUGAGUUUAAAUUCAUUUUUUUAUGGUAAGACUUAUUUUGAUGCACCACUUUUGCACAUUUGUUUGGUUUAGAAUUUCUAUACCACCUUCAAUAGAUCUUUUGUCAUUGAAAUUCUUAAGGUGUUCUUUUAUUUGUUCAAUUUCUAAUUUUAAAAGAUUGAUUUCUAUUUGAAGUUCUUGAGUGGUUAUUUCUUUCUCUUUUGGUGAUUCAAAUCUUCUUAAAAUAUUAUUUAGGUUAUAAAUUGUUCUUAUUUCUUUUACAUUAUCUUCUUCUUUUAUAGUUUCUUUGAGUUUGGCUAAAUAUUCUUUUCUUUAUUCAUGAUCUUCUAUUUUAUCAAUAAACUCUAGUAAUAAAUCUUGUUCUUUUGUAAUUUCGCAGAUGUCUUUUUUGUCUUCAGAUUCUGAGGAUAAUUUAACACUAUCUUCAAACUCUUGAGAGGCCUGAGACUCCGAAUCUGAUUCUAGGAGUAAAAUUUUUUGUUGAUUUUUUAUUGAUUUUGGAAGGUCAUAUACAUCUAUUUUUAAAUUAUUAUUAUUUUUUUUUACCUUACAAUUUCGACUAAAAUGUCCCAUUCCUCCACACUUGUAAAAAAUUGGUGGUGAUGCUUUUGCCCAAGGCCAACGGGGCUUUUCGGGUUUGUAUUGAGAUAAUUUGGUUUUCUUGCCCUUUGUUAGAGAUUUUGAUUUUUCUUUAAAAGAUCUUUCUUUGUAGCAGUCCUUGCAAAGUUUUUUAGGUUUUUGAGUUUUAAGGGGUUGAAGAUCAAAUUGUUCGCAAAAAUUUCCUAGCUCUUUUUUAGAAUUUAGUUGUUCCUUUUUAAUUUGUUGUUUGAGUCUUAGAUCACUACAAAGUAGUAAUCCUUCCUCAUUUAUGAUAUUAACUAGGUCUCCAUAUGUCAAUCUAUCAUAAAGAAUUCUACCAUUAUUUUGAUUCCUAAGUUUAGUUCUUAUUUUCUCAGAGAACACGGUAGGGAGACCUACAACAAAUUUUUCUUUCCAAAAAGGUUGGUUGCAAUUUUCUCUAGCCCUUACUUUUGUUAAGAAGGCAUCUUUAUACCAUCUAAAAUCUUGGAAUUUUUUGCAUCUUAGAUUUGUCAAGAUUUCUGUCGUCUUAUCUCUUAGUUUUGAUGGAUCUCUUAAGAAAUGUUUAGCAAUUGCAAAGAUAAGGAUGGGAACAGCAUCCUGUAUGUCUAUUCCUUCCUCAUCUUUGAGAAUUAUUCCAUCUGCAGUUUUUGUAACUACAAUAAGGAUUUGAUUUCUAUCUACAUCAUCUAAGUAGUGAUCCCACCAACCCUUCAACUGGCCAGUGAAACUAGCUACAAGAUUUUGAGCAAUAGCAUAAUCAGGUGUGUUUUUUAUUUUAUAAGCAUUUGCUACCAUAGUCAUCUCCUGAAGUAUAUUUUGGAUGCCAUAUUCGGUUACCCCAUCUAUAUUUCAUUCAUAGAUAGUAUUAGCCAAAUAUUGAUUUUAGAUUAUUUGUCCUCUUUCUUCUAGGACUAAAUCUGGAAGGGUAGGCCUUGGGUAAUACAUCUUCCUAGGAUAACUAUUCUAAUUAGUAAUCUUAUUUAUUUGGUGUUCUUCUUCUCUAAAAAUUUUACUUUCAGAUGAAGAUGAAAUUUGCUGGGUUAAGGUGGCUAUUGUUCUAGGUCUAAUAGGUUGUUCUGGGAUAUCUUCUACUCUUUGAAUUCCUUCUACAGCUUGGAGUCUUUUGUUCAUUUCUUUCAUAAUAUCAGUGUUUAAUUCUUUUGAUUAUUUUUUAUUUAUUUCAAAAGGUUUAAAAAUGGGUAAAGAGAUUUUUUCUUUUACUCCAAAUUUUUUUUCUUUCAUUAUUUCUUCUACUCUAAUUAGUUGAUCACCUAUAGUUUUAAGACUUUGAUUGGUAAAAUUAUUUUGCUCUAUAAUGUUUUAAUGUCUCUACCGUUUGGAGUUUCCGGUGGAUCUAUCUUCAUUUUGAAUGGUGAGGCUGUUAUCUGGGUUUCAAUAGCAAGUAUUCUAAUUUCUUGAAGGGAAGGAUAUAUUUUUUCAAUAACUCUUCCUUUCCUAUCUUGCCAAGAGACUAUGAUUUUUGGAUUGGAUGGUUCUAGAUUUUUUAUUUCUUUACCAUUUCUUAAAAUCAUAUUGAUGUCUUUUGGAUAUUCUUUUAUAAGUAUAUACCAUUUAGAGAACGAUAUUUCUUUCCUAAUCAUUUUUAGGAAGGUUUAAUAUCUAUUUGUAAUCUACUCAUCUAUUCUUUGGAAAGGAUUGCUAAAGGUUUUCUUUUAAAAUCCAUUUACAAGAUGGCUCGAAAUCAAUAUCAAUUACAUAUAACUCUGGGUCUUUCCUUUCAGCAAUUUGAGAAUAAGUAGGUGAGAUAGGCGGAGAUUGAAGUUCUUCAUAUCUAGAUUGGGGAAUCUUUGGUUCAAAAUUUACAUUACUUAAUUUUAAAGGUGAACAAGUAGAACAAUUAUGUCUAGAUGGGUUUAUUUGGACUUGUGAGGAUUCUUGCCUAUAACUUGAGCUUCGCCGUAAUCCUCUUUGAAAUCCAAUAGAAACAUCUCCUUCAGAAUUUGUAAUGAUUGUAUCCAAUUUACUUUGUUCU
RNAcentral lists this long non-coding RNA (8236 nucleotides) under Elaeis guineensis (African oil palm). RNAcentral's name for it is "long non-coding RNA (EGUI_LNC009963)". The record is from RNAcentral. Lineage: Eukaryota; Viridiplantae; Streptophyta; Magnoliopsida; Arecales; Arecaceae.